This 125-nucleotide small nucleolar RNA is filed under the name Otolemur garnettii (small-eared galago). Its description in RNAcentral is "U8 small nucleolar RNA (ENSOGAG00000023331.1)". The record is from RNAcentral. Lineage: Eukaryota; Metazoa; Chordata; Mammalia; Primates; Galagidae.
UUGUUGGGUAGGAUAGUCCUUACCUGUUUCUUAUUGUGGAGGGCAGGUCAGAGAGUGACGAUGGGUGCUUGAGUGACAAUGACGGGUAUACCCACCUCUGUGUAACCGGACUGGCAACUGCUGAU